UCUUCAUAUGGCCGAGUGGUUAAGGCGUUGGACUCAAAAUUCAAUGGGGUCUCCCCGCACAGGUUCAAAUCCUGUUCACAGCAAGAG
This 87-nucleotide transfer RNA is filed under the name Pelobates cultripes (western spadefoot toad). RNAcentral describes it as "tRNA.Leu". The stretch from base 8 to 76 matches the Rfam family "tRNA", at positions 7 to 64 of the family's 71-position model. Rfam says of the family: Transfer RNA (tRNA) molecules are approximately 80 nucleotides in length. Their secondary structure includes four short double-helical elements and three loops (D, anti-codon, and T loops). Lineage: Eukaryota; Metazoa; Chordata; Amphibia; Anura; Pelobatidae. The record is from RNAcentral.